CCUACGGGAGGCAGCAGUGGGGAAUCUUGGACAAUGGGGGCAACCCUGAUCCAGCCAUGCCGCGUGAGUGAUGAAGGCCUUAGGGUCGUAAAGCUCUUUCGCCUGUGAUGAUAAUGACAGUAGCAGGUAAAGAAACCCCGGCUAACUCCGUGCCAGCAGCCGCGGUAAUACGGAGGGGGUUAGCGUUGUUCGGAAUUACUGGGCGUAAAGCGCGCGUAGGCGGAUUAGUCAGUUAGAGGUGAAAUCCCAGGGCUCAACCCUGGAACUGCCUUUAAUACUGCUAGUCUUGAGUUCGAGAGAGGUGAGUGGAAUUCCGAGUGUAGAGGUGAAAUUCGUAGAUAUUCGGAGGAACACCAGUGGCGAAGGCGGCUCACUGGCUCGAUACUGACGCUGAGGUGCGAAAGUGUGGGGAGCAAACAGGAUUAGAUACCCUGGUAGUCCACACCGUAAACGAUGAAUGCCAGUCGUCGGCAAGCAUGCUUGUCGGUGACACACCUAACGGAUUAAGCAUUCCGCCUGGGGAGUACGGUCGCAAGAUUAAAACUCAAAGGAAUUGACGGGG
RNAcentral lists this ribosomal RNA (562 nucleotides) under uncultured bacterium. RNAcentral describes it as "bacterial SSU rRNA". It matches the Rfam family "Bacterial small subunit ribosomal RNA", at positions 338 to 918 of the family's 1533-position model. The record is from RNAcentral.